RNAcentral lists this ribosomal RNA (427 nucleotides) under uncultured eukaryote. RNAcentral describes it as "SSU rRNA". It matches the Rfam family "Eukaryotic small subunit ribosomal RNA", at positions 567 to 990 of the family's 1831-position model. The record is from RNAcentral.
CCAGCAGCCGCGGUAAUUCCAGCUCCAAUAGCGUAUAUUAAAGUUGUUGCAGUUAAAAAGCUCGUAGUUGGAUUUCUGGCAUGAUGCGCCUGGCCCGCUCCGAUUACGGAUGUGUGUGCUAGUGCGCGUCUGCCAUCCAUUUACAGAAUGUAUCUACCCUUCAUUGGGCCGGAUAUGUGAUGUAAAUCUUUUACUUUGAAAAAAUUAGAGUGUUUAAAGCAGGCAUUUGCUAUGAAUACAUUAGCAUGGAAUAAUAAUCUAGGACUUCGGUUCUAUUUUGUUGGUUUCUAGAUCUGGAGUAAUGAUUGAUAGGGAUAGUUGGGGGUGCUAGUAUUUAGGGGCCAGAGGUGAAAUUCUUGGAUUCUCUAAAGACUAACUUAUGCGAAAGCAUUCACCAAGGAUGUCUUCUUUAAUCAAGAACGAAAGU